GCAGAUGCAGGAGGACAGUGAAUAAAGCUGUUCAAGCAGAGAAGCUGGUGGGUGAGUCAGAGCAUGGCUGGCCUGAGAGGAAGUCGGGCAUCCAGGUGGGAUUUGGUUACACAGUGUCCUUUGUGACCAGGCAGUGGCAGGGCCUCUGUGGGACCUCGGGGGAGGGGUCUAUGGAACUGUAAAUGGUCGCAUUGCCUGUUGGCAGAGGAAGAGCCUUUGCUUCUGGGUAAACAAGAGGACCACAGUGCCAGCUCUUCAGUUAUCUGCAUCUCGCCAGGAAGGCCGAGCCUCUCCAAGCUGGGUUCUGAUGAAGUUGCUCUUUCAUCUGCAGGACCCUCUUGGCAAGAAUUCGGGCAGCACACUGUGAAUCCAAGUGCCAAGACAACUUCUGCAAACUCCAGGGUUGAGACAGCCCACAGAAAAGGCUGUGCCACCAAAACUAAGGGCUGCCAACAUCAUCCAUGCCUUCCCAACCCAUCCUGCUGGCCACUGCUCCACCUCCACAGGUGCUCACAUGUGUGUUCUACAACCUCACAGAUGUCUGCAUCUUGUGAUUUUUCCAAGGUAUGUGUCCCGUUCCUUUUGGGAAAAGUCUCACCCUUUUUGUUCUGUUGUGAUGGAAUCAUGAUCUUUGGAGGCUCCUUUGGAGGAAAUCUGCAAACUUGGAUCAGCCCAGCCCAACC
Molecule: long non-coding RNA, 683 nt
Filed under: Fukomys damarensis (Damara mole-rat)
Lineage: Eukaryota; Metazoa; Chordata; Mammalia; Rodentia; Bathyergidae
Description: lncRNA (ENSFDAG00000025464.1)
Source: RNAcentral